GGAGCAUGUGGUUUAAUUCGAUGCAACGCGAAGAACCUUACCUGGGCUUGACAUCCCGAGAAUCCCCUGGAAACAGGGGACGUGCCCUUCGGGAGCUCGGAGACAGGUGCUGCAUGGCUGUCGUCAGCUCGUGUCGUGAGAUGUUGGGUUAAGUCCCGCAACGAGCGCAACCCUUGUCUUAAUUGCCAGCAUUCAGUUGGGCACUUUAAAGAGACUGCCGGUGUUAAGCCGGAGGAAGGUGGGGAUGACGUCAAGUCCUCAUGGCCUUUAUGCCCAGGGCUACACACGUGCUACAAUGGGUGGUACAAAGAGAUGCCAACUCGCGAGAGCGCGCCAAUCUCAGAAAGCCAUCCUCAGUUCGGAUUGGAGUCUGCAACUCGACUCCAUGAAGUUGGAAUCGCUAGUAAUCGCGGAUCAGCACGCCGCGGUGAAUACGUUCCCGGGCCUU
This 448-nucleotide ribosomal RNA is filed under the name uncultured Syntrophus sp. RNAcentral's name for it is "bacterial SSU rRNA". It matches the Rfam family "Bacterial small subunit ribosomal RNA", at positions 934 to 1382 of the family's 1533-position model. Lineage: Bacteria; Pseudomonadati; Thermodesulfobacteriota; Syntrophia; Syntrophales; Syntrophaceae. The record is from RNAcentral.